This 399-nucleotide ribosomal RNA is filed under the name uncultured bacterium. Its description in RNAcentral is "bacterial SSU rRNA". It matches the Rfam family "Bacterial small subunit ribosomal RNA", at positions 356 to 773 of the family's 1533-position model. The record is from RNAcentral.
GGGGAAUAUUGCACAAUGGAGGAAACUCUGAUGCAGCGACGCCGCGUGAGGGAAGAAGGUUUUCGGAUUGUAAACCUCUGUCUUCGGGGACGAUAAUGACGGUACCCGAGGAGGAAGCCACGGCUAACUACGUGCCAGCAGCCGCGGUAAUACGUAGGUGGCAAGCGUUGUCCGGAAUUACUGGGUGUAAAGGGAGCGCAGGUGGGAUGGAAAGUUGGAUGUUUAAUCUACGGGCUCAACCCGUAUCAGCAUUCAAAACUAUCGUUCUUGAGUGGAGUAGAGGCAGGCGGAAUUCCAGGUGUAGCGGUGGAAUGCGUAGAUAUCUGGAGGAACACCAGUGGCGAAGGCGGCCUGCUGGGCUCUAACUGACACUGAGGCUCGAAAGCGUGGGUAGCAAAC